This 23-nucleotide non-coding RNA is filed under the name Arabidopsis thaliana (thale cress). The record is from RNAcentral. Lineage: Eukaryota; Viridiplantae; Streptophyta; Magnoliopsida; Brassicales; Brassicaceae.
GGGGGUUUUCAGUAAACAAAGAG